CCUACUGAAAAUUAUAAAAAAAAUCACCCCUAACUCAAGUAAAAAAAAAACUCUUUUAACCCUAUCAUUGGAAAUUUUAACUAUCAUCUCCCUUUUAGCCUUCCUCACAUUCCCUUAACAUUUCAUUUGUACAGAAUAAACAUCUUAUUUGUAUUAAGAAUAAACAUCUUAUUUGCUGUAGACGUAGUCUUUUAGAUCCAUGCUGUGCAGCGUUACGAGGAUUAGGGUGAAGGUGGCGGAGGAAGGAGGAAAGGAAAAAGUCAGAACUGCCAUGAAAUCUCGCAAAAAAAAUAAAAAUCAAUUACGUGUCACAAUAUGAUAAGAUAAAUCUUUAAGAUGAGAACAAAAAAUAAAAUAAAAUUCAAAACAACACUGAGCGAGUACUAUUUAUCUUUCAAAUUCGGUGAAAUUAAUAGUUGAGAAUCGUUAAAUGAAAAUUUAAAUCAGUCCAAUAAUCUAAAGGCUCUUAGUUAUCAACUUCACGUGAAAUGGAGUGCACCUGACUUUCCACUUUCAAAUUCCCUUCAUCACUGAGCGAGUCAGAGAUAGACACCGACUCAGUGAGGGGUUUCUGUUUUCUAUCUUAAAACGCGCCGAGUCAAACGAGUCACAGUCAGCGAGCUGAGUUGAACCAGGUGCUUGCUUCUUCACUCUUUCUCCAUUGUGUUGUUUUUUGCAUUAUGGGCAUUCCAAAGUUCGAGUCUUUUCUUCUUCUUCGUCGUUUCAAUGUCUAUUUCUCACGGUUUCAUCAUCUGGGGUAGCAUCAAAUAAUCGAAUUUUUUAUAAAAGAAUCGUGGGGUUUCGAGGUUUUUCAGCUUUUCCUUUUGUUUCUUUUGAUCAUCUUGAUAUGUUAGCUUUUGUUUUAGCUCGAGA
RNAcentral lists this long non-coding RNA (873 nucleotides) under Arachis ipaensis. RNAcentral's name for it is "long non-coding RNA (AIPA_LNC001652)". Lineage: Eukaryota; Viridiplantae; Streptophyta; Magnoliopsida; Fabales; Fabaceae. The record is from RNAcentral.